RNAcentral lists this ribosomal RNA (497 nucleotides) under uncultured bacterium. RNAcentral's name for it is "partial 16S ribosomal RNA". It matches the Rfam family "Bacterial small subunit ribosomal RNA", at positions 28 to 507 of the family's 1533-position model. The record is from RNAcentral.
GAUGAACGCUGGCGGCGUGCCUAAUACAUGCAAGUCGAGCGAACAGACGAGGAGCUUGCGCCGCUGACGUUAGCGGCGGACGGGUGAGUAACACGUGGAUAACCUACCUAUAAGACUGGGAUAACUUCGGGAAACCGGAUCUAAUACCGGAGAAUAUAUUGAACCGCAUGGUUCAAUAGUGAAAGACGGUUUUGCUGUAACGUAUAGAUGGAUCUGCGCCGCAUUAGCUAGUUGGUAAGGGAACGGCUUACCAAGGCAACGAUGCGUAGCCGACCUGAGUGGGUGAUCGGCCACCCUGGAACUGAGCCACGGUCCAGACUCCUACGGUAGGCAGCAGUAGGGAAUCUUCCGCAAUAGGCGAAAGCCUGACGGAGCAACGCCGCGUGAGUGAUGACGGUCUUCGGAUCGUAAAGCUCUGUUAUUAGGGAAGAACAACUGUGUACGUAACUAUGCACGUCUUGACGGUACCUAAUCAGAAAGCCCCGGCUAACUACGUG